UGGAGAGGUCUUCUCCCGCGAAUUUCUACCGCCGAAGUUGCAAUUGCAAGAGUCUCCGAUUUCGAAUCCAGAGCUACUUGGAGGCCUUUGUCGGCGACGGCGAGUUUCCACGAUUUAGGGGAGCUGCUGAGGGUUAAUUGUGUUUGCAAAAUCCUGUGGAAGCGGAUUUUGUUGGUGAAGUCUUGGAGUCGAUCUAUUCUCUCCAACUAUGGUACUCUCCUUGAGUUUCUUCUUAAAUUUUUUAUCGUGAAAAUUGAGUUCUUGCUGUAUUGAAAAAUAUUAGAGACAUUAAAAGUUAUUGUUGCUCCUUUUUUAGUUUUUAAAUUCAGGGAAGAUAUCGGAAUGGAAAGGAACUGCUUGUCUGUGAUCUACAUGACAUCGAGUAUGAACAGACACUGAUAUUUUAAUGAACAAUGAUAAUUUAUUCCUUGGCUUAAACCUUAUUGCUACUGGUCAUAUUUGGUGAGACUCGAGAGAGAAAACGUGUCUUAAAAAAUUUAAAUGA
Cucurbita moschata (crookneck pumpkin) is the source of this 505-nucleotide long non-coding RNA. RefSeq lists it as uncharacterized. NCBI's taxonomy places the organism in Eukaryota, Viridiplantae, Streptophyta, Magnoliopsida, Cucurbitales, Cucurbitaceae. The transcript has 2 exons. The record is from RefSeq and is a predicted model, not a curated record.